RNAcentral lists this unclassified non-coding RNA (331 nucleotides) under soil metagenome. RNAcentral describes it as "partial contains 5.8S ribosomal RNA, internal transcribed spacer 2, and large subunit ribosomal RNA". The stretch from base 1 to 120 matches the Rfam family "5.8S ribosomal RNA", at positions 35 to 154 of the family's 154-position model. The record is from RNAcentral.
GAUGAAGAACGUAGCAAAAUGCGAUAAGUAAUGUGAAUUGCAGAAUUCAGUGAAUCAUCGAAUCUUUGAACGCACAUUGCGCCCGCCAGUAUUCUGGCGGGCAUGCCUGUUCGAGCGUCAUUUCAACCCUCAAGCACAGCUUGGUGUUGGGACUCGCGUUAAUUCGCGUUCCCCAAAUUGAUUGGCGGUCACGUCGAGCUUCCAUAGCGUAGUAGUAAAACCCUCGUUACUGGUAAUCGUCGCGGCCACGCCGUUAAACCCCAACUUCUGAAUGUUGACCUCGGAUCAGGUAGGAAUACCCGCUGAACUUAAGCAUAUCAAUAAGGGAGGA